AUGCCCACCACCAUCAAGUGGGAGUUCAAGGAGUUGGAUGCUCAGCAUCGCUGGCAGCUGCUGUACUUGAUGAUCACAGUUGUGUUAAACUGCAAAAUGCUGAGAAUGAUUAUAUUAAUGCCAGCUUAGUUGACAUAGAAGAGGACAAAGGAGUUACAUCUUAACACAGGGUCCACUUCCUAACACAUGCUGCCAUUUCUGGCUUAUGGUUUGGCAGCAGAAGACCAAAGCAGUUGUCAUGCUGAACCGCAUUAUGGAGAAAGAAUUGGUUAAAUGUGCACAGUACUGGCCAACAGAUGACCAAGAGAUGCUGUUUAAAGAAACAGGAUUCAGUGUGAAGCUCUUGUCAGAAGAUGUGAAGUCGUAUUAUACAGUACAUCUACCACAAUUAGAAAAUAUCAAUAGUGGUGAAACCAGAACAAUAUCUCACUUUCAUUAUACUACUUGGCCAGAUUUUGGAGUCCCUCAAUCACCAGCUUCAUUUCUCAAUUUCUUGUUUAAAGUGAGAGAAUCUGGCUCCUUGAACCCUGACCAUGGACCUGUGGUGAUCCACCGUAGUGCAGGCACUGGACGCUCCAGCACCUUCUCUCUGGUAGACACUUGUCUUGUUUUGAUGGAAAAAGGAGAUGAUAUUAACAUUAAACAAGUGUUACUGAACAUAAGAAAAUUCCAAAUGGGUCUUAUCUCAGACCCCAGAUCAACUGAGAUUCUCAUACAUGGCUAUAACAGAAGGAGCAAAAUGUGUAAAGGGAGAUUCUAGUAUACAGAAACGAUGGAAAGAACUUUCUAAGGAAGACUACCUCCUGCUUUUGAUCAUUCACCAAACAAAAUAAUGACUGAAAAAUACAAUAGGAACAGAAUAGGUCUAGAAGAAGAAAAACUGACAGGUGACUGACGUACAGGACUUUCCUCUAAAAUGCAAGAUACAAUGGAGGAGAACAAUGAGAGUGUUCUACGGAAACGUAUGUGAGAGGACAGAAAGGCCACCACAGCUCAGAAGGUGCAGCAGAUGAAAUAGAGGCUAAAUGAGAAUGAACGAAAAAGAAAAAGGCCAAGAUUGACAGAUACCUAA
RNAcentral lists this long non-coding RNA (1072 nucleotides) under Homo sapiens (human). RNAcentral describes it as "non-protein coding lnc-ANGPTL1-2:1". The record is from RNAcentral. Lineage: Eukaryota; Metazoa; Chordata; Mammalia; Primates; Hominidae.